RNAcentral lists this ribosomal RNA (427 nucleotides) under uncultured bacterium. Its description in RNAcentral is "partial 16S ribosomal RNA". It matches the Rfam family "Bacterial small subunit ribosomal RNA", at positions 355 to 774 of the family's 1533-position model. The record is from RNAcentral.
UGGGGAAUAUUGGACAAUGGGCGAAAGCCUGAUCCAGCCAUGCCGCGUGUGUGAAGAAGGUCUUCGGAUUGUAAAGCACUUUAAGUUGGGAGGAAGGGCAUUAACCUAAUACGUUAGUGUUUUGACGUUACCGACAGAAUAAGCACCGGCUAACUCUGUGCCAGCAGCCGCGGUAAUACAGAGGGUGCAAGCGUUAAUCGGAAUUACUGGGCGUAAAGCGCGCGUAGGUGGUUUGUUAAGUUGGAUGUGAAAGCCCCGGGCUCAACCUGGGAACUGCAUCCAAAACUGGCAAGCUAGAGUACGGUAGAGGGUGGUGGAAUUUCCUGUGUAGCGAUGAAAUGCGUAGAUAUAGGAAGGAACACCAGUGGCGAAGGCGACCACCUGGACUGAUACUGACACUGAGGUGCGAAAGCGUGGGGAGCAAACA